Molecule: long non-coding RNA, 1219 nt
Organism: Spinacia oleracea (spinach)
Lineage: Eukaryota; Viridiplantae; Streptophyta; Magnoliopsida; Caryophyllales; Amaranthaceae
Exons: 3
Source: RefSeq, a predicted model, not a curated record
GAAGGGAAUCAAGAACCUUCCUAUCCUCUCAAUCUCCCUCACUAUCAUUUUCUCUCUCCUCACCGUCUCUCUCUCUCUCAUUUCAGUGGUCCUCUCUUCCUUCUUGCUCUCUGCUUUGCUAAACCGCAACCACCGGCGCCGCUAACGUGCUCCCCUCUCCAUCUUCGGCACUGAUGAUGUUGUGUCGCUAGUGAUGUUGUUGACCUGCUUCUGCCGACUUCCUUGCUCCGCCUCCCUCUCAUCCUUCACGUCAUCGCCGCCGCCAGUGAUGGCCUUCGAUUGUCUCUGCCGGCAUCAUCACCUUAUUGGUAAAUUUCUUUAAUUCAUUUCCAUUUAUAGAUUGAAUUGAAUAUAGUAAAACCCCAAAGUAGCAAACCCUAACAAAUUCAUCUUAUUUCUUUUUUUUCCUCUCCUUGUGUUGUAAUUUGGGCGCCGCUGGUAACUCGCCGGAGCGCCGGAGUUCUCUGACGGUGUAGUUGUUCCUGUUGGUGGUGUUAUUCCUUGUUGGUGUUGAAUCUUGCGCCCCUGUCUCUCCUCUUUGGUUUCUGCUCUCCUUUGUCUCCUUCCCUCCUCUGUCGGACCGCCUGAGUCCCAUGGCUUGCCGGGGCUGUGGUUGUCGUUGUUGAUGAGGGUGUAUCAUUGGAGGUCGAUUAAGGAGAAUUGAAUUACGGAGUUUAAGCGGGGAUUGGUGAUCGAAAUCUAUAGUUCUUGGAAUCUAUUUGUUGGUAAUUGAAGAGUUAAAAUGUUUUGCAGGUAGCAAGAGUUAGGUCUCAGUUCAGAUUCAAGGUUCGUAGAGUUCUCAAAUGGCCUUAUGUGUCCAAGGUUGGAUUGUGGAUUCGCCAAAUGUAAUUUAGUUCCUAGAGUUUGUUAAUGGGCUGUAUAAUUUCUUCUUAAAGCUUUUUAGUUUAUAAUUUUUGGGUUAUAUAUCCGUAUUGGAGUCGUAGUUAAAGUUAAAGUAGCUCAUUAAGUGUAGGCUGUUACAGUGACACCCUGGUGAUGUUUUGGAAUGAUGUCAUUGAAGCAGGUGGAAGAGAAUCUGACAUAAUUUCCUAAAUAUUAUUUUAGGUUGUCCAUAUUUAGGGGAAGUGCUGUCAAAAUUUUUAAUAACUAAUUAAGUUUAUGGGUCUUGAUUAGUGUCUUUGAGAUAGGCUAAAUCGUGAUUAAAUAUUUGAAGUUGUUUAAAGAGUUAAAGUUCGUUUAGCAGGGUUUAAAGUUGUAA